CGGACGGGUGAGUAAUGUCUGGGAAACUGCCUGAUGGAGGGGGAUAACUACUGGAAACGGUAGCUAAUACCGCAUAACGUCGCAAGACCAAAGAGGGGGACCUUCGGGCCUCUUGCCAUCGGAUGUGCCCAGAUGGAAUUAGCUAGUAGGUGGGGUAAUGGCUCACCUAGGCGACGAUCCCUAGCUGGUCUGAGAGGAUGACCAGCCACACUGGAACUGAGACACGGUCCAG
This 232-nucleotide ribosomal RNA is filed under the name uncultured bacterium. RNAcentral's name for it is "partial 16S ribosomal RNA". It matches the Rfam family "Bacterial small subunit ribosomal RNA", at positions 99 to 334 of the family's 1533-position model. The record is from RNAcentral.